GACGAACGCUGGCGGCGUGCUUAACACAUGCAAGUCGAACGGAAAGGCCCUGCUUUUGUGGGGUGCUCGAGUGGCGAACGGGUGAGUAACACGUGAGUAACCUGCCCUUGACUUUGGGAUAACUUCAGGAAACUGGGGCUAAUACCGGAUAGGAUCUCCUGCUGCAUGGUGGGGGUUGGAAAGUUUCGGCGGUUGGGGAUGGACUGGCGGCUUAUCAGCUUGUUGGUGGGGUAGUGGCUUACCAAGGCUUUGACGGGUAGCCGGCCUGAGAGGGGGACCGGCCACAUUGGGACUGAGAUACGGCCCAGACGCCAACGGGAGGCAGCAGUGGGGAGUAUUGCACAAUGGGCGGAAGCCUGAUGCAGCGACGCCGCGUGCGGGAUGACGGCCUUCGGGUUGUAAACCGCUUUCGCCUGUGACGAAGCGUGAGUGACGGUAAUGGGUAAAGAAGCACCGGCUAACUACGUG
RNAcentral lists this ribosomal RNA (468 nucleotides) under uncultured bacterium. Its description in RNAcentral is "partial 16S ribosomal RNA". It matches the Rfam family "Bacterial small subunit ribosomal RNA", at positions 28 to 507 of the family's 1533-position model. The record is from RNAcentral.